GUGCUUGCUUCAGCAGCACAUAUACUAAAAUUGAAAUGAUACAGAGAAGAUUAGCAUGGCCCCUGUGCAAGGAUGAUGCAAAUUCAUGAAAUGUUCCAUAUUUUU
Rhinopithecus roxellana (golden snub-nosed monkey) is the source of this 105-nucleotide small nuclear RNA. The record is from Ensembl. NCBI's taxonomy places the organism in Eukaryota, Metazoa, Chordata, Mammalia, Primates, Cercopithecidae.